Molecule: transfer RNA, 76 nt
Filed under: Celithemis elisa
Lineage: Eukaryota; Metazoa; Arthropoda; Insecta; Odonata; Libellulidae
Description: tRNA-Val
Source: RNAcentral
CUGAAAAUUUAAUUGUGCAAUUCAAUUUAAUUUGAUAAUUUUUUCUUACUUCUAUUUUUUGUUUAUUACGAGAAAU